RNAcentral lists this unclassified non-coding RNA (1709 nucleotides) under Hevea brasiliensis (rubber tree). Lineage: Eukaryota; Viridiplantae; Streptophyta; Magnoliopsida; Malpighiales; Euphorbiaceae. The record is from RNAcentral.
AAAACAAUCUUACAGGUUCAAUCCCUACCUCCAUAACAAACUUGGAAAAUCUAUCCAUUCUCUACUUGUGGGGUAAUAAACUCUCUGGUUCCAUACCUGUAGAGAUUGGGUUCUUAGAAUUUUUAAAAAAACUUGAUCUAUCAAGUAACGGUUUAACUGGUGCAAUCCCUUCUUCUAUUGGACACUUAAGAAAUUUAUCAAUUCUUGCACUUUUUGACAACAAACUCUCAGGUUCAAUCCCUACUUCCAUAACAAACUUGGAGAAUCUAUCCAUUCUUCGGUUGUUUUCUAACCAGCUCAAAGGUUCCCUACCUUUGGGAUUCAAUAAUCUUACUCGUUUGAAGUCACUGCAUUUGUAUGGGAAUGGAUUCACUGGUCAUUUGCCAGAAAAUGUAUGCCUUGGAGGGUUGCUUGAAAAUUUCACUGCUGGCUGUAAUCAUUUCUCAGGUUCGAUCCCCAAAACCUUGAGAAAUUGUACUAGCUUAUUUAGACUUAGACUUGAUUGGAAUCAAUUAACAGGGAACAUUUCAGAAGAUUUAGGGAUAUACCCGCAUUUGAAUUUCAUUGAUUUGAGUAACAAUAGAUUUCAUGGAGAGCUUUCAUGGAAAUUGGGGAAGUGGAAAAACAUCACGACAUUAAAAUUUUCAAACAACAACAUCUCUGGCAGCAUACCACCCGAGCUGGGAAAUGCUACUCAAUUACAUCUUAUUGACCUUUCCUGGAAUCAUUUGCAAGGGCAAAUUCCUAAAGAAUUGGCAAAGUUGAAGCUGUUGUUCAAAAUUUGUCUUAAUAACAACAAUCUUUUUGGCCUUGUCCCUUUAGAUUUGAAGGUGCUAUUUAAUCUGGAUGAACUUAAUUUAGCAGCAAAUAAUCUAAGUGGUUCAAUUCCUGGACAACUUGGAGAACUUCCACAUUUAUUGGUCUUGAAUUUGAGUGGAAAUGAAUUUACAGGAAGUAUUCCGUUUGAGUUAGGGAAUCUACAUUUUCUAGAAGUUCUUGAUCUUAGUCAAAAUUUGUUAACAGGAGAGAUCCCGCCACAACUGGGAGGGUUGCAAAGAUUGGAGACACUGAACCUCUCCCACAAUUUACUGUCAGGUUCCAUUCCAACUACUUUUGAUUAUUUAUCGAGCCUGAGUGUUGUAAAUAUAUCCUAUAAUAAGUUAGAGGGCCCAAUUCCCCACAAUAAGGCCUUUCAACAGGCUCCAUUUGAAGCACUUCAAAACAACAGACACCUGUGUGGCAAUAACACUGGACUAGAGGCUUGUGCCUUAGUUGCAAUCAACAAAGCUAUCAGAGAAAAAGAUAGUAAACCGGUUGCUGUUGUUGUCAUUACCAUCGUGUGUAGUCUGUUUCUAUUUAUUGUCUUGGUUGGGGGUUUCUUUCUUGUCCGCCAAAGAAUCAGAAACAGAAAAGCUAAGUCAGACGAAGGGCCGAGUGGUGAAGAUAUUUAUGCAAUGUGGGGUCGUGAUAAGGAUAUGCAAUAUGAAAACAUUGUUAAGGCUACAGAGGAGUUCAACCCCAAGUAUUGCAUUGGGGAAGGAGGAUAUGGAAUCAUCUACAAAGCUGUUCUGCCAACUGGUCGAGUGGUUGCUGUAAAGAAACUUCACCAGUCACCAAAUGGAGAGAUGACUGAUUUCAAAGCGUUUAAAAGUGAUAUUUGUGCAUUGAUAAACAUUCGUGAUCGAAAUAUUGUGAAGUUAUAUGGUUUU